RNAcentral lists this ribosomal RNA (423 nucleotides) under uncultured bacterium. Its description in RNAcentral is "bacterial SSU rRNA". It matches the Rfam family "Bacterial small subunit ribosomal RNA", at positions 358 to 773 of the family's 1533-position model. The record is from RNAcentral.
GGAAUAUUGCACAAUGGGGGAAACCCUGAUGCAGCCAUGCCGCGUGUGUGAAGAAGGCCUUCGGGUUGUAAAGCACUUUAAGCAGUGAGGCAGGGUUGAACGCGAAUAUCGUCCAACAUUGACGUUAGCUGCAGAAUAAGCACCGGCUAACUCCGUGCCAGCAGCCGCGGUAAUACGGAGGGUGCAAGCGUUAAUCGGAAUUACUGGGCGUAAAGCGCGCGUAGGCGGUAAUCCAAGCUGGAUGUGAAAGCCCCGGGCUCAAACUGGGAAUUGCAUUCAGAACUGGAUUGCUAGAGUACAGAAGAGGGGUGUGGAAUUUCCGGUGUGGCGGUGAAAUGCGUAGAGAUCGGAAGGAACAUCAGUGGCGAAGGCGACACCCUGGUCUGAUACUGACGCUGAGGUGCGAAAGCGUGGGUAGCAAAC